AAGUUCUCAUAAUUCAAAAAG
RNAcentral lists this microRNA (21 nucleotides) under Medicago truncatula (barrel medic). RNAcentral describes it as "mtr-miR7696c-5p". Lineage: Eukaryota; Viridiplantae; Streptophyta; Magnoliopsida; Fabales; Fabaceae. The record is from miRBase by way of RNAcentral.